CCCCGCCCCCACCCAGUAUGUGCACCACGGUGAUGGCGCUGGGCGCGCUCAUGCUCUUCCUGCGGCGACGCUUCUGCAGCCGCGUGCAGCCCGUCCUCGUUAAUGGAGAGGACGGACACACCGCCGAUUCACAGAGAUGUGGAGCAGAGUCAUCGGUGUGCAGGGGAGGCCUCUGAAGAGUUAGUUUUUGUGAUGUCCCAGAUGGACUCAGCAGAACUAUGCUUUGUUUAGAGCCACGAUGAGCCACAUUGAGUCAGAUCGCACCGCACUAAACUCGUUCCGUUGGCCCACCAGUACUCCAGAUACACAGUAUAACUGACAAUCAAGUCUGUCUUUGAGGAAUCAUUGAUGGUUGGUCAUUGUCCAAAGUGAAGUGGUUCUGACAGCAUAAUAUUGGGAUCAGAGACCCAGAGUUACACAGCUUAAUAUAGCCACCCACUCGCACUAAUGCUACCCACAACUCAUUUGAUUCUCUCUACAUUGUCAUCAAUUGCCUCCCAGAUUCUACCCCUCACUCAUACACACAGGGUAAUGUACAGUGGGCAAUUAACCGACUAAACAGCAAUAAAAGUUUCCACAGGUGAUGGAAAGACUAGGUGCUGAGAGCUCUCUUAUACCUGCAUUAGGGAGGCAAUUAUUAUGCACCUGAACAAUU
This is a long non-coding RNA of Amblyraja radiata (thorny skate), 655 nucleotides long. RefSeq lists it as uncharacterized. The record is from RefSeq and is a predicted model, not a curated record. The transcript is spliced from 3 exons. Lineage: Eukaryota; Metazoa; Chordata; Chondrichthyes; Rajiformes; Rajidae.